CCUACGGGGGGCAGCAGUGGGGAAUAUUGCGCAAUGGGGGAAACCCUGAUGCAGCGACGCCGCGUGAGUGAAGAAGUAAUUCGUUACGUAAAGCUCUAUCAGCAGGGAAGAAAAUGACGGUACCUGAGUAAUAAGCCCCGGCUAACUACGUACCAGCAGCCGCGGUAUUACGUAGGGGGCAAGCGUUAUCCGGAUUUACUGGGUGUAAAGUGGGCGUAGACGGUGCGCCAAGUCUGGAGUGAAAUGCCGCCGCUUAACUGGGGAACUGCUUUGGAGACUGGCGAACUAGAGUGCGGGAGGGGUAAGCGGAAUUCCUAGUGUAGCGGUGAAAUGCGUAGAUAUUAGGAGGAACACCGGUGGCGAAGGCGGCUUACUGGACCGUAACUGACGUUGAGGCUCGAAAGCGUGGGGAGCAAACAGGAUUAGAUACCCGUGUAGUC
This 440-nucleotide ribosomal RNA is filed under the name uncultured bacterium. RNAcentral's name for it is "partial 16S ribosomal RNA". It matches the Rfam family "Bacterial small subunit ribosomal RNA", at positions 338 to 795 of the family's 1533-position model. The record is from RNAcentral.